UGAAAUACUAGAUUUGUCUCCUCCUAAAC
Molecule: small RNA, 29 nt
Filed under: Bombyx mori (domestic silkworm)
Lineage: Eukaryota; Metazoa; Arthropoda; Insecta; Lepidoptera; Bombycidae
Description: piRNA piR-bmo-1441898
Source: RNAcentral